UUUUUUUUUUUUUACCCCUGGUUUCUCGAGAUCACGAGAAAAUUAUCUUGUGAUCUCCAGAAAACGGGGGUAAAAAAAACAAAC
Molecule: non-coding RNA, 84 nt
Organism: Xyrichtys novacula (pearly razorfish)
Lineage: Eukaryota; Metazoa; Chordata; Actinopteri; Labriformes; Labridae
Source: the annotation of a GenBank genome assembly